RNAcentral lists this ribosomal RNA (930 nucleotides) under uncultured organism. RNAcentral describes it as "bacterial SSU rRNA". It matches the Rfam family "Bacterial small subunit ribosomal RNA", at positions 462 to 1410 of the family's 1533-position model. The record is from RNAcentral.
AUGCGGUAUGACGGUACCCUUUCGAAUAAGAGGUUGCUAACUCUGUGCCAGCAGCAGCGGUAAUACAGAGACCUCGAGCGUUAUCCGGAUUUACUGGGCGUAAAGCGUCUGUAGGGGGUUUGUUAAGUUCCAAGUAAAAUCUUAAGGCUCAACUUUAAGUUCGCUUGGAAAACUAAUAAACUGGAGUCCAGCAGAGGUGCAUGGAACUUGCGGUGUAGGAGUGAAAUCCGUUGAUAUCGCAAGGAACACCAAAGGCGAAGGCAUUGCACUGGGCUGGUACUGACCCUGAGAGACGAAAGCGUGGGGAGCAAAACGGAUUAGAUACCCGUGUAGUCCACGCCGUAAACGACGGAUACUAGAUGUUCGGGGAUUCGACCCCCUGGGUGUCACAGCUAACGCGUUAAGUAUCCCGCCUGGGAAGUACGGCCGCAAGGCUAAAACUCAAAGGAAUAGACGGGGAUCCGCACAAGCGGUGGAGCGUCUGGUUUAAUUUGAUAGUAAGCAAUGGACCUCACCAAGGUUUGACAUCCUAUGACAACCCUGGAAACAGGGCUUCCUUCGGGGCAUAGUGACAGGUGCUGCAUGGUCGUCGUCAGUUCGUGCCGUGAGGUGUUCCGUUAAGUCGGGAAACGAACGAAACCCUCGUCGCAUGUUACAAAUUUCAUGCGAGACUGCCCGGGUCAACCGGGAGGAAGGCGGGGAUGACGUCAGAUCAGCAUGGCCCUUAUACAUUGGGCUACACAGGCGCUACAAUGGCCGGUACAAAGGGUUGCAAAACCGCGAGGUGAAGCUAAUCCCAUAAAGCCGGUCCAAGUUCGGAUUGGAGNCUGCAACUCGCCUCCAUGAAGUUGGAUCGCUAGUAAUCGUGAUCAGCCAUACCACGGGAAUACGUUCCCGGAUCUGUACUCACCGCCCGUCACACCAAGAGAG